GGAAGAAAGCACACGUCUUGAUGAUGCCUUGAUUUGGACGUUUUCACAGCCUCAAAACUAACUGACUCCCAAGACAGCAGGUGUCAGCAUCAUCAUUCACUGGCCCGUUUGGUUCACCUGCCUGUGAGCCUUAGACCUUCUGAUCCUCCAGUGCAGCUGCUGUGUGACGCAUUUCCCAAAUCCCAGCGUUUGUCACUGCCGCUCCCUCGGCUGGAGACAGCUUUGCACAAGCACUGGCAUGGCUGCUUCCUCACCAGUCAGGCCUCAGCUCAAAUGUCACCUCCUCCGAGAGGUCCUCCCUGACCACCUGCCUAGAGCAGCUUCCACCCAAACCAGCAGUAUUGCCCACUCUCAGUCAAGCGAGCAAGCGAGCCAGCCGUUUCAGAUGUCCACCUCAGCAGAGCCUUCCGAUGGCCACAGCUCUAGCUGAUACCCAGCUGCAAGCACACAACACUCCAAACAAGAACUGAACCACCCCACUGAGCCCAGUCAAUGCACAGAACCGUGAGAGAUGUUUUUGUGGACAGUUGCAAGCCACUGGGGUUUGAGCUCAUUUUAUCCCCACACCAAACCUGAGAAACGGAGACGCAAAGCUUCGCGGCAGGAGAAUCAAGUGGCAGCUGAUCAUGUUUGAUGGAGACUUUCAGGAAGAAACCUUCAGCCUGCAGGAGCCAGGGUAGCGGGUCGAGAGGACAGAGCAAGACCUGGAGGCAAGCACUGCCAUCCUCUUUUGAGCGGUCCAGCGCACUGUACCUUAAAAAGCCCUUCCACUCCCUUAUCUCAUUUGGUCCUCACAAGUCCCCGGUGAUGCUGAUGCGAGUGAUGGGAAGAGCCCCUGAGUCUCCGCGGUUCCCAGGAGCAAACGGCCCCAGAGACGACAGAGGAGUGGGGGAGGGUGCGCCGCUCCCGGGAACUGCGCCCUCUGCUGGCCGAACCUUUCUCCUCUCUUCUGGGAAGGCUCCUGAGAACCUUGGCUCAUUCCGGGCUUUAUGGCCUUAACAGAGCAGGGCCACAAGUGGGGUGUAAAAAUGAAGGAGGCAAUCCCCUUCAGACCCUGGAUGCCUUUAUGCCUCCCUCUUGCCCAGGCCCUGUCGUCAGAACUCCCCAGCAUCUGCCAAGAGCUUGCUCUCUGCCAGACCCUGUAUUCAGCAUCUCAUAUGCAUUAUCUCACUCGGUCCUCACGGGAGUUAGUGGUGUCUCCAUUUUGACCAAUGGGGAUGAUGGCACUUAACGAGGAGGAGUAAGGUGUCCAAAAU
Long non-coding RNA from Choloepus didactylus (southern two-toed sloth), 1256 nucleotides. RefSeq lists it as uncharacterized. Lineage: Eukaryota; Metazoa; Chordata; Mammalia; Pilosa; Megalonychidae. The record is from RefSeq and is a predicted model, not a curated record. The transcript has 3 exons.